This is a long non-coding RNA of Notolabrus celidotus (New Zealand spotty), 554 nucleotides long. RefSeq lists it as uncharacterized. NCBI's taxonomy places the organism in Eukaryota, Metazoa, Chordata, Actinopteri, Labriformes, Labridae. The record is from RefSeq and is a predicted model, not a curated record. The transcript is spliced from 2 exons.
CUCUAAAAACACGAGUAAGCUAGCUGCAUGUUUGCUUGCUGAGAAGUGUUUCAACGUUAUCCACAUUAAUGUUUCAAUGUGAACUUAGACAGUCUUAUUAAAUAUUGGGUCAAAAAGAGCACAAAAAGGUCGCAAACAGUGACGUCAGUAACUCAGAAUAACACCUCGUAACUCUGGACAUGUGAAGCCUGGUAAAGUCAGAUUACAGGCACUGCUGAAUAAACUGCGUGUUGCACUGGUAGAUUGCAAAGCCACAUGUGCUACACGGUGCCAGACUGAGAUAAGAGGAAAGGUACAGCCUCCCUGAUCUUGAGAUCAGUGAUCUCUUUGAAGAUGGCUGCAGACUGCACUUCUUCCAGAGGACACAUAAUGCCAUACUCCUCACAUCCAUGGGCCUGAACCAGGGGGUCCAUCCGGUGGGGGUCAAACAUGAUGUUGUUGGGUGUCACCAGCAACACCCCGCUAACCGCACCCUGAAUCAACAAACAGGGAGAAGGAAGGAGAGAGGAGGCAGUAAAUUGGAUCAAUAAAAACAUUGAUAUCACAAAAAGGAA